This 216-nucleotide non-coding RNA is filed under the name Bacilli bacterium. Its description in RNAcentral is "T-box sequence". It matches the Rfam family "T-box leader". From Rfam's summary of the family: Uncharged tRNA acts as the effector for transcription antitermination of genes in the T-box leader family. T-boxes are found upstream of many aminoacyl-tRNA synthetase genes and some amino acid biosynthetic genes usually in Gram-positive bacteria. Lineage: Bacteria; Bacillati; Bacillota; Bacilli. The record is from RNAcentral.
UUACAUCCAUUGAGGGAAAGAGUAAUUAGUGAACGACUGGAAAGAGAAAAGAUGUCUUGGCUGAAAACAUCUUCACAGAUCGUACUGAUGAAUGACAUUCCUUAGGAUUUGUAUCGAAUGUAGUAGGUAUGAACGUUUUGCAGGCGUUAACUGUGAAAAGCGAAUGCAUAAAAGCAUUAACUAGGGUGGCAACGCGGGUAAACUCUCGUCCCUUCU